GCUUGCCGAAUUUUUACUGUACUGUAAAACUUUGCCGCAACCCUAACAUCAUUUACACAUUAAGUAAUAGUUUAAUUUUGUCGAAGCUCUGCAAUUUACUACUUUAGAUCCUAUCUGUGGACAAUGGUGCUGGUUGCAUUGUUACAAAAUCUUCAAAUUAUUAAGAUUUAGUACAUAAGCCCUCAAUGUAACUGUUUGUUGUCCCAAAUAAAGAGAAAAAAAAA
This is a long non-coding RNA of Ostrinia furnacalis (Asian corn borer), 224 nucleotides long. RefSeq lists it as uncharacterized. Lineage: Eukaryota; Metazoa; Arthropoda; Insecta; Lepidoptera; Crambidae. The transcript has 2 exons. The record is from RefSeq and is a predicted model, not a curated record.